Molecule: non-coding RNA, 202 nt
Filed under: Pediococcus stilesii
Lineage: Bacteria; Bacillati; Bacillota; Bacilli; Lactobacillales; Lactobacillaceae
Description: T-box sequence
Rfam family: T-box leader
About the family: Uncharged tRNA acts as the effector for transcription antitermination of genes in the T-box leader family. T-boxes are found upstream of many aminoacyl-tRNA synthetase genes and some amino acid biosynthetic genes usually in Gram-positive bacteria.
Source: RNAcentral
AUAUUGUCGAUGAAAAGAAGUAGUAGUUGUUGAUCCACUUUAAGAGACCGAAUGGAUGGUGUAAAUUCGGAGUGUAGCACGAUGAACUCGUCUUUUGCCGGAUUGUUUCUGAAUGAAGUAGGAAAUGACGUUUUCCGCGUUAAGGAUAUCAAGUGUGCUUUAUGCAAAUCUAGGUGGUACCGCGGAUUUUUUCGUCCUAAGA